Molecule: long non-coding RNA, 1333 nt
Organism: Dermochelys coriacea (leatherback sea turtle)
Lineage: Eukaryota; Metazoa; Chordata; Testudines; Dermochelyidae
Exons: 4
Source: RefSeq, a predicted model, not a curated record
UGGCAGUGCACAGCCACUCUACACCCUACUCCCAGCAGGUAUGAUAGAAGUUUAGAGGAACCUAUUAUGGCUGAAAAGAGAUUCCAACUCACCCCAAGAAAGGCAUCUUUGUUUCCAGUCUGACAACAAGUAUGCUAAAUUUCAUCUUAGAAGUAAUACCUAUAAGAUCUCGCCCAGAGUUCAGAACCUGCGACACCCAUUGGAAUUGAGUGCUCAACACCUUUGAAAGUCAUUCUAUACCUGUGCCGAGAUCCAGAAACAUCAAUCCCAGAAGAUGGGGAAUUUCUUUCUCCAUUGAACUGCUAGGAGGUUUUCAAGAAAAAGAAUUGGUCAUGAACAACAAGCAGCUCUCACCAAGUCACUGCUGAUCAAAAUCUUCAACAGUCUGUAAAGCAACAAUGUAGCUGACUACUAUGAUCCCGUCAAAAUAUUUUGUGGUUGAACUUUUUGAAUAAAAAAGGGGUGCUUAAAAUCACUGUAUAAACUAGCUCCAGUUCAGCUCCUAACAAAGGCUCUGUUGUGAUACUGUGUGUACAGAGAAAUGUAUGUGACCUUGUAGCUUGUGUCGUAGCCUGAGCCUGUCAGGCACAAUUCCCAGAAAGAGAGUGCAUUAGAACUCAUAGCAAACACAUCUUUUUAUAGGUGAUAGGGUUAUAGAAAAGAAGGCCUUCAUAAUAAAUGCCAGAAGAAGAAGGGCGCUUAACUCAAAUUAAUGACUUGUGUAUGAAAGCUGUUAGAUUCUGGACUCAUCCUGGCCCACAUCACACUCAGCCUACAGAACCUAAAAACUCCAGAUUUUUCAGUAGCUUUCAAUUGUGUUAGUUACUGCCAUAUGCCAUCUCGGUGCAGCUCAUAAAUCAGAGCUGCCCUUUAGGGUGCUAAUUUACUGCUAGGAGAGCAUCAGCAGAGCUGCUUGACUAAGGGACUGGAAAUAGAUACCAACAUAUUCCUCUUAGAGUUAUUCUGUGAGGCCUGGGCCUAGAUUUCUUCAGUGAGGAUGAGUCACAUCCUACAGAGUGCUGUCUGUAGAAACAUUAGCCUGCCCCACGUAAAGUAGUUUUGUUACAGAAUUAAAAUAGACCCGGAGAAACAAAACUCUAACCUCUUCUCUUCUUUAAGGAGACAAGGUGAAACUAAAACAAUUUUGAACAAUGAGAAGAUAAAUAUUAUAACGUGGGCUAAUAUUUUUAGUUAAAACUUUGUACACUAAUGUGUAAGAUAUAUGAAAGUCUUCAUCUAUUCUCCUCAUUACUACUCAAUGUAAAGAGUGGUUUUUAAUGGCUCUAUUAAUAUAAUCAAAUACAUUUGAGAAGUUUUUCAUUUCUGUAAGGUC